UUUUCUUCAACCUUAUCUUAUCUUGCAUCUUUUUCUCCUUAUUCUUAUUCCAAAUCAACAUCUAGUAUAACGUUAUCUUUUCCAUUGCAUUUGGAGCAUCUAUGAUCUGGAUAUUUGUGUCAAAUAAGUUUGCAAUAUCUGAUUAAUAAUUCUUCUGAAAUAAAUUCCUUUUUCAAUGCUCUUGUCGUAGGUUGUUCUUAUGAUUUUAAUAGUGAAAAAAUCCAGCAUCUACUGGAUGGAGGGGCACCUCAGCUUGUGGAUCUGGAUAGAACCGAUAUGUUGGAGGAUUCCGAGCCUGGUGGAAAUACCUCAGCGCUGUAUUUAAACAAACGUUAUGAGUUUGAGGGAGUUCCCCAUCGUUUCCUUUUAUCUCUGGAAUUUUAUCAUCUUCCGAUCGACGUAGCUCCGCAUUUUUAUAGUCAUGCUGCUGACUUAUAUUAGCUUUAGACUUCAGGUUAUCUUCAUUAGUCUUUAUCUUUUGUAUCUCAUUAUCCAUUCUGUCUACUUUGGUACAAAGUGUAGUAAUUGCUUUGAGUAGCUCUUCGAUUGUAUCUUUAUUUUUGUUCUCAGUCUGAGUAGCUUUGUCUUGAUAAAUAGUCUGCAACACCAUUCUUG
RNAcentral lists this unclassified non-coding RNA (615 nucleotides) under Hevea brasiliensis (rubber tree). Lineage: Eukaryota; Viridiplantae; Streptophyta; Magnoliopsida; Malpighiales; Euphorbiaceae. The record is from RNAcentral.